This 21-nucleotide non-coding RNA is filed under the name Arabidopsis thaliana (thale cress). Lineage: Eukaryota; Viridiplantae; Streptophyta; Magnoliopsida; Brassicales; Brassicaceae. The record is from RNAcentral.
UCUUUAUUGAACCUGCCAUCA